GAGGAACAUUGCCCAAUGGACGCAAGUCUGAGGCAGCAACGCCGCGUGGGCGAUGAAGGCCUUCGGGUUGUAAAGCCCUUUUCUGGGGGAAGAGGAAGGACGGUACCUCAGGAAUAAGUCACGGCUAACUACGUGCCAGCAGCCGCGGUAAUACGUAGGCGGCAAGCGUUAUCCGGAUUCACUGGGCGUAAAGCGCGUGCAGGCGGUUUCGUAAGUCGGACGUGAAAGCUCCUGGCUUAACUGGGAGAGGUCGUUCGAUACUGCGGGGCUUGAGGUCGGGAGAGGGACGUGGAAUUCCCGGUGUAGUGGUGGAAUGCGUAGAUAUCGGGAGGAACACCAGUGGCGAAGGCGACGUCCUGGCCCGCGCCUGACGCUGAGACGCGAAAGCGUGGGUAGCGAACGG
This 403-nucleotide ribosomal RNA is filed under the name uncultured bacterium. RNAcentral's name for it is "bacterial SSU rRNA". It matches the Rfam family "Bacterial small subunit ribosomal RNA", at positions 356 to 775 of the family's 1533-position model. The record is from RNAcentral.